This 497-nucleotide ribosomal RNA is filed under the name uncultured bacterium. RNAcentral's name for it is "partial 16S ribosomal RNA". It matches the Rfam family "Bacterial small subunit ribosomal RNA", at positions 28 to 507 of the family's 1533-position model. The record is from RNAcentral.
GAUGAACGCUGGCGGCGUGCCUAAUACAUGCAAGUCGAGCGAACCGACGAGGAGCUUGUUCUUUUGACGUUCGCGGCGGACGGGUGCGUAACACGUGGGUAACCUACCUAUAAUACUGGGAUAACUUCGGGCACCCGGCGCUAAUACCGGUUAAUAUUUCUAAUCGCAUGGUUCGCUAGUGAAAGCUGGAUCUGCUUUCCCUUAUAGAUUGACUUGCGCCGCAUGAUCUAGUUGGUAUGGUAACGGCUUACCAAGGCAACGAUACGUAGCCGACCUGAGAGGGUGAUCGGCCACACUGGAACUGAGACACGUACCAGACGCCGACGGGAGGCAGCAGUAGGGAAUCUACCACGUUGAGCGAAAGCCUGACGGAGCAACGCCGCGUGAGUGAUGAAGGUCUUCGUAGCGUAAAACUCUGUUAUUAGGGAAGAACAAUCAUGUAAGUAACUGUGCACGUCUUGGCGGUACCUAAUCAGAAGGCCACGGCUGACUACGUG